This is a non-coding RNA of Macaca mulatta (Rhesus monkey), 1640 nucleotides long. Lineage: Eukaryota; Metazoa; Chordata; Mammalia; Primates; Cercopithecidae. The record is from RefSeq and is a predicted model, not a curated record.
AGAAGAAGAAAUGGAGUCUCAGAUGCAGGGUGGCUUGUCACAGUCCACAGGAAAGAGGCUAGAUGCAAGGGCAGAGCCGGAGCCCUGAGAUGCACCGCCAACAGCCCUCCCCCUGCACUCCCCCUGUACACUUGGGGCUCAGGCUUGGAGCAGAAGUAAAUUAUCUCUUCCAACCCCCCAUCAGCAAACAGACACUUCCUCCUCCAGGGCUCACAGCCAAGUACCUCAAACCACAGUGACAUCACUGCCACCUGUGACAUCACUACACGCCACAGUGGAAAAAGACUGUGGGUCCCAGGGAGGUGGGCCCUGAGCGUCAGAGCCCCAGCCCCGCGGUCAGAGGCUCAGCAGAGGUGAUCAAGGCCCAAAGCCCUAAGGGAAGGGGGCAGGACUCAGAACCAGGGCAGAGCAGCCUGCACCCAUUACCGGUGACAAAGAGCUUCUUCGAGGAAAACGCCCUCCCUGCUCAAGGCUUCCUUGAACCUGCGUGUUCCCAGACAGCAGGCUCUGCAGUGCCUGCCUCCAGCGAGGACUUUCCCAUAGUGUGGGGAAGGGGAAAGGAUCUAGCUCUUGAACUUGAAAAGGUGCCACCUAGGUACCAAGGGGCAGAGAGGCAAACCCCAGCUCUGCCUAAGGAGCUCCACCACGUCCUUCAUGAAGGCUGACAGGCAGCCGUGAAUUCUCGAUGGCCCUGGGGCCUGAGUCAGGAAAUCAUUCCACCCAAAGCAAGUGAGAUUGAGGUCAGCAAGCAGAAGAGAAUCUGGGGAACCAAGAUAUUGACAGUGGGGAGUCCUGGGCUCUCCCUCCUGGGGACUUUUAGAUACCCCACCCCCAACCUGUGGCCUUUGUCAAGUAUACUCAAAGCUGACACUUCCCCAAUAUUCUACGAAAGCAUUGGAACCAGGGCUGUUAGGUUUCACAGGUAGGGAUGCUUAGCCCCAGAGAGGUUAAGUAACCCAAGCAAGGUAGCACAGCGAGCCAGUGACAGUGCUCAGAUGGGAACUGUGAUCUCCCAACACCCGGGUCAGUGCUCCUUCCUCGGAGCCAUGCUGCCUUAGAAGUCACUUGGAGGCGGAAAAUGGACAGCAUGACCUCAGAAGAGCCCCCACAGGGCAUCCCCUUCUCAGGGUCACAAGUAACCAGAACUUUCAGCAGCACAGAGGCUGGAGAUGAAGGAGGUUUGGGAGAGCGCCUGGAAUCUUCCCGUGCCCAUCUUGCAAGCUGAAGCCUUGUGCACUCUCUCUGUGCUUCACCAAAGAUAAGAACACAGAGGCUCCGAGGGAUAGAAAGACUUGUCAAGGUCACACAGCCAGUAAAACAGCAGAGCAAUGACUUGAGGUUUAUCUGAUUCAGAGGCCUGGGCUUUUUCCCAGAGUCAUCAGUGCUGCUUCCCUGUGCCCAGACGAGGGUCCAGAACUGGGAGCCACAGCACCUCUCCUUUGUUCCUGUUCACCCCAUGGCACCUCAAACCUCAGCUUCCCUCCUUGCCCACUUCUGGGUAAAUCACACGCAUUCUGGGGUCCUGAGUCACCGUCGACAGCCCAGGCCCUGCUCAUCCCCAUCAGAGGCACCAAGCACUCACCUACUGCCAGCUUUACUGCGAUCUCUUUGUCAAAUGAAUAAAUGACUAAGUGAAUGAA